AACGAACGCUGGCGGCAGGCUUAACACAUGCAAGUCGAGCGCCCCGCACGGGGAGCGGCAGACGGGUGAGUAACGCGUGGGAACGUACCUUUUGGUUCGGAACAACUCCGGGAAACUGGAGCUAAUACCGGAUAAGCCCUCACGGGGAAAGAUUUAUCGCCGAAAGAUCGGCCCGCGUCUGAUUAGCUAGUUGGUGAGGUAACGGCUCACCAAGGCGACGAUCAGUAGCUGGUCUGAGAGGAUGAUCAGCCACACUGGGACUGAGACACGGCCCAGACUCCUACGGGAGGCAGCAGUGGGGAAUAUUGGACAAUGGGCGCAAGCCUGAUCCAGCCAUGCCGCGUGAGUGAUGAAGGCCUUAGGGUUGUAAAGCUCUUUUGUCCGGGAAGAUAAUGACUGUACCGGAAGAAUAAGCCCCGGCUAACUUCGUG
This 431-nucleotide ribosomal RNA is filed under the name uncultured bacterium. RNAcentral's name for it is "partial 16S ribosomal RNA". It matches the Rfam family "Bacterial small subunit ribosomal RNA", at positions 29 to 507 of the family's 1533-position model. The record is from RNAcentral.